This 459-nucleotide ribosomal RNA is filed under the name uncultured bacterium. Its description in RNAcentral is "SSU rRNA". It matches the Rfam family "Bacterial small subunit ribosomal RNA", at positions 26 to 517 of the family's 1533-position model. The record is from RNAcentral.
AGAAUCAACGCUGGCGGCGUGCCUAACACAUGCAAGUCGAACGAGAAAGUGGAGCAAUCCAUGAGUAAAGUGGCGCACGGGUGAGUAACACGUGACUAACCUACCCUUGAGUGGGGGAUAACCUAGGGAAACCUGGGCUAAUACCGCAUAAUACCUUCGGGUCAAAGGAGCAAUUCGCUUAAGGAGGGGGUCGCGGCCGAUUAGUUAGUUGGCGGGGUAAUGGCCCACCAAGACUGUGAUCGGUAUCCGGCCUGAGAGGGCGCACGGACACACUGGAACUGAAACACGGUCCAGACUCCUACGGGAGGCAGCAGUGGGGAAUUUUGCGCAAUGGGGGAAACCCUGACGCAGCAACGCCGCGUGGAGGAUGAAGUCCCUUGGGACGUAAACUCCUUUCGAUCGGGACGAUUAUGACGGUACCGGAAGAAGAAGCCCCGGCUAACUUCGUGCCAGCAGCCG